GGUUGUGUAGUGUAGUUGGCCUAGCACAUCGGAUUCUGAUUCCGGGGACCCCGGUUCGAAUCCGGGCACGACCU
Non-coding RNA from Coniochaeta sp. 2T2.1, 74 nucleotides. The record is from the annotation of a GenBank genome assembly. NCBI's taxonomy places the organism in Eukaryota, Fungi, Ascomycota, Sordariomycetes, Coniochaetales, Coniochaetaceae.